This 253-nucleotide ribosomal RNA is filed under the name uncultured bacterium. Its description in RNAcentral is "partial 16S ribosomal RNA". It matches the Rfam family "Bacterial small subunit ribosomal RNA", at positions 524 to 776 of the family's 1533-position model. The record is from RNAcentral.
UACAGAGGUCUCGAGCGUUGUUCGGAUUCAUUGGGCGUAAAGGGUGCGUAGGUGGCGCCGUAAGUCGGGUGUGAAAUUUCGGAGCUUAACUCCGAAACUGCAUUCGAUACUGCGGUGCUCGAGGACUGGAGAGGAGACUGGAAUUCAUGGUGUAGCAGUGAAAUGCGUAGAGAUCAUGAGGAAGACCAGUGGCGAAGGCGGGUCUCUGGACAGUUCCUGACGCUGAGGCACGAAGGCCAGGGGAGCAAACGGG